ACUUAUGUGACUGCAGAGAGGAGGACAGAGGACAGUGGACACACACUUUAACAUGAUGGACUAUAGGACAGGACUGCUGCUUCUAACUGUCUGCUGGGCAGGUGUUGAUGCUCAGACUCUGACUCAAUCUGAACCAGUGGUUAAAAGUCCUGGAGGAUCCCACAGACUGACCUGUACAGGCUCUGGGUUCACCUUCAGCAGCUACUAUAUGGCCUGGGUCAGACAGGCUCCUGGAAAAGGACUGGAGUGGGUUGCUACUAUCAGCACAAGCAGUAGUUAUAUCUACUACUCUGAGUCAGUGAAAGGCCGGUUCACCAUCUCCAGAGACGACUCCAGCAGUAAACUCUACCUACAGAUGAACAGUCUGAAGACUGAGGACUCUGCAGUGUAUUACUGUGCCAGAGACCCACAGUGAGAGACAAUAACAGGAGAGUCUUACAAAAACUACUUCCUCUAUCUUCAACCAUCACUGAACGUUCAGAUGUGAACACCUGUGACAUGAAGCCACCAGAGGAGGAGCCCUCAGACCAACAAUGAUUCUAUCAUCAGAUCAAAAACUGCUUUGAAAUAAAGGUUUUAUCUCACUCAAA
Non-coding RNA from Notolabrus celidotus (New Zealand spotty), 590 nucleotides. The record is from the annotation of a RefSeq genome assembly. NCBI's taxonomy places the organism in Eukaryota, Metazoa, Chordata, Actinopteri, Labriformes, Labridae.